UAUCCGAUAGGGCUGAAUCCCCUUAGGGGGAACGGGGGAACCAACUAUCGGGGGUGAAUCUCGCCGUAGGCGAGUAGGGUAGUAGCUCUUUCAACCCGAACCCGUCAGCUAACCCCGUAGGCCACUGAAAGAGGCAUA
This 138-nucleotide small RNA is filed under the name Dehalococcoidia bacterium. RNAcentral describes it as "c-di-AMP sequence". It matches the Rfam family "c-di-AMP riboswitch aptamer (ydaO/yuaA leader)". Rfam says of the family: This family represents a conserved RNA structure found upstream of the ydaO and yuaA genes in Bacillus subtilis and related genes in other bacteria. Lineage: Bacteria; Bacillati; Chloroflexota; Dehalococcoidia. The record is from RNAcentral.